AUUAUAGUGUUCAAGGUCUUUUCCCACUUGUGCCUGCACAAUAGUGGGAAAAUGACAUUGAAACACGCACCAGCAUGAGCAUAAAAGGAAAGCGCAGACUUUACGAUAUGCGAAUGGUGGCAUAGGAUUGCGGGAGCGCAUCGCACGCAGCAAUCCGUA
Molecule: small RNA, 159 nt
Filed under: uncultured Bariatricus sp.
Lineage: Bacteria; Bacillati; Bacillota; Clostridia; Lachnospirales; Lachnospiraceae
Description: Clostridiales-1 RNA
Rfam family: Clostridiales-1 RNA
Source: RNAcentral